UUUGAGUUUGUGUAUAUUUGGAGGCCUGGGGAACCACAAAGAAGUCUAUGUUUCAGAUUGGGUUGACUUAGAAAAAGAAUGGAAGGAAAUGAAUUCAGGGAGACAAAGAUGGCCAAAUCAUAAAUGCAGCCUUAUUAGGAUAGGUUUUGCUGGGCGAAAUGCAUUUAGCUGGACAUGUUAGUCUAAGGUCAUUUCACAUAUAAUGAGUUUAAGCAACUUGUUACGUAUCUCAGAAAUAGAAAUAAUUAUUUCCUUUCUAGUAACUAUAGCUCUAUACUCCAACUCUUAAGCAUGAACUGUUCUUACUUUUCCAUAAAUGUGGGUUGGAAUAGAGAAAUUCAAAUUGUGUUUUUUUAUUUCCAACUAUCUUAGAACACUCCUUAUCUUGAAUAAAUUUAAUGUAAUUGGUCAGAUACAUCUAUGUUGAUCUUUAUGCAGAAAGAAAGGAAAGGAAAAAAUUUGUGGAUUCUAAGAACUGGCAAGACUGAGGUUUAAACUAUUGGAUGUUUGAGAGACAAAAGGAAUCAGUGAGAUUUAAUAGGAGAUGGAUAUAUACAUUUCUCUUUUGACUAACCCAUUAUCACUGCAGGAUUAUGUGAAUGUAAGGCUAGAAGCUAUUAGAGCUGAGUAUCAGAAGAUGCCUGUAUUUCAUCAUGAAGAAGAAAAACAUAAUUUGGAGAUGCUGAAAAAGAAGGGGAAAGAUAUUUUCAUCAACUUCAUUUAAGUAAAGCCAAAAUGGCUCAUAGGAGGGAAAUUUUAAGAGGAACAUAUGCGGAGCUGAUGAAAAUGUGCCAUAAACCACAUGUGGAGCUACUUCAGGCUUUUGGAGACAUAUUAUACAGGAGUGAGUCUGUGCUGCGGCACAUGCCCCAGCCUCUGAAUCUAGCACUCAGGGCAGGGCCCAUCACUGGACUGAGGGACAGGCUCAACCAAUUCCGAGGUAAGUCUCCACCCACAGGCAGCACCCCCACUAUCUAAAUAUUAUUAUUGUUAGGAUCACAUAGGUAAUAUUUCACCCUUUAUCAAAUAUUUUACUACUUUAUAGGCAUAAGAGAACAAUAUAAUCAUGCAACCCUUUUGUAUCUGUGUCUCUAUAGUCAGAUUUAUAGCAUUAAGAUUGAAAGAUAGUGAAAAACAAAUACGUUAUGGCCUCAUAUGUACUGAGUAAUGUAAUGGGAAAAAAGGAAUAGUGUAGCAAAUCUAAAAAAGGAGCAAAUGGAACAAUGCUCAGAAUGAAGGUGAGUUGUUUAAUGUUAAAUACAAAAUUUUACAUUUCUUUGGUGUAUUCAUUUGAACAGCUAAGAACUGUUCUUUUGGGGAAUAUAGUUCACUGGAGAUUCUUGGGGUUUUUU
RNAcentral lists this long non-coding RNA (1352 nucleotides) under Pan paniscus (pygmy chimpanzee). RNAcentral describes it as "lncRNA (ENSPPAG00000044814.1)". Lineage: Eukaryota; Metazoa; Chordata; Mammalia; Primates; Hominidae. The record is from RNAcentral.